This 439-nucleotide ribosomal RNA is filed under the name uncultured bacterium. Its description in RNAcentral is "bacterial SSU rRNA". It matches the Rfam family "Bacterial small subunit ribosomal RNA", at positions 42 to 473 of the family's 1533-position model. The record is from RNAcentral.
UCAGGCCUAACACAUGCAAGUCGAGCGGCAGCACGGGGAGCUUGCUCCCUGGUGGCGACGGCGGACGGGUGAGUAAUGCAUAGGAAUCUGCCCGGUAGUGGGGGAUAACCUGGGGAAACCCAGGCUAAUACCGCAUACGUCCUACGGGAGAAAGCAGGGGACCUUCGGGCCUUGCGCUAUCGGAUGAGCCUAUGUCGGAUUAGCUGGUUGGUGAGGUAAUGGCUCACCAAGGCGACGAUCCGUAGCUGGUCUGAGAGGAUGAUCAGCCACAUCGGGACUGAGACACGGCCCGAACUCCUACGGGAGGCAGCAGUGGGGAAUAUUGGACAAUGGGCGCAAGCCUGAUCCAGCCAUGCCGCGUGUGUGAAGAAGGCCCUCGGGUUGUAAAGCACUUUCAGUGGGGAAGAAAGCCUUCCGGUUAAUACCCGGGAGGAGGGAC